GGGGAUUAGUGGCGAACGGGUGAGUAACACGUGAGUAACCUGCCCUUGACUCUGGGAUAAGCCUGGGAAACUGGGUCUAAUACCGGAUAUGACUCCUCAUCGCAUGGUGGGGGGUGGAAAGCUUUUGUGGUUUUGGAUGGACUCGCGGCCUAUCAGCUUGUUGGUGAGGUAAUGGCUCACCAAGGCGACGACGGGUAGCCGGCCUGAGAGGGUGACCGGCCACACUGGGACUGAGACACGGCCCAGACUCCUACGGGAGGCAGCAGUGGGGAAUAUUGCACAAUGGGCGCAAGCCUGAUGCAGCGACGCCGCGUGAGGGAUGACGGCCUUCGGGUUGUAAACCUCUUUCAGUAGGGAAGAAGCGAAAGUGACGGUACCUGCAGAAGAAGCGCCGGCUAACUACGUGCCAGCAGCCGCGGUAAUACGUAGGGCGCAAGCGUUAUCCGGAAUUAUUGGGCGUAAAGAGCUCGUAGGCGGUUUGUCGCGUCUGCCGUGAAAGUCCGGGGCUCAACUCCGGAUCUGCGGUGGGUACGGGCAGACUAGAGUGAUGUAGGGGAGACUGGAAUUCCUGGUGUAGCGGUGAAAUGCGCAGAUAUCAGGAGGAACACCGAUGGCGAAGGCAGGUCUCUGGGCAUUAACUGACGCUGAGGAGCGAAAGCAUGGGGAGCGAACAGGAUUAGAUACCCUGGUAGUCCAUGCCGUAAACGUUGGGCACUAGGUGUGGGGGACAUUCCACGUUUUCCGCGCCGUAGCUAACGCAUUAAGUGCCCCGCCUGGGGAGUACGGCCGCAAGGCUAAAACUCAAAGGAAUUGACGGGGGCCCGCACAAGCGGCGGAGCAUGCGGAUUAAUUCGAUGCAACGCGAAGAACCUUACCAAGGCUUGACAUGAACCGGUAACGUCUGGAAACAGGCGCCCCACUUGUGGUCGGUUUACAGGUGGUGCAUGGUUGUCGUCAGCUCGUGUCGUGAGAUGUUGGGUUAAGUCCCGCAACGAGCGCAACCCUCGUUCCAUGUUGCCAGCGCGUAAUGGCGGGGACUCAUGGGAGACUGCCGGGGUCAACUCGGAGGAAGGUGGGGACGACGUCAAAUCAUCAUGCCCCUUAUGUCUUGGGCUUCACGCAUGCUACAAUGGCCGGUACAAAGGGUUGCGAUACUGUGAGGUGGAGCUAAUCCCAAAAAGCCGGUCUCAGUUCGGAUUGGGGUCUGCAACUCGACCCCAUGAAGUCGGAGUCGCUAGUAAUCGCAGAUCAGCAACGCUGCGGUGAAUACGUUCCCGGGCCUUGUACACACCGCCCGUCAAGUCACGAAAGUUGGUAACACCCGAAGCCGGUGGCCUAACCCCUUGGGGAGGGAG
This 1355-nucleotide ribosomal RNA is filed under the name Arthrobacter oryzae. Its description in RNAcentral is "bacterial SSU rRNA". It matches the Rfam family "Bacterial small subunit ribosomal RNA", at positions 87 to 1452 of the family's 1533-position model. The record is from RNAcentral. Lineage: Bacteria; Bacillati; Actinomycetota; Actinomycetes; Micrococcales; Micrococcaceae.